This 254-nucleotide ribosomal RNA is filed under the name uncultured bacterium. RNAcentral's name for it is "partial 16S ribosomal RNA". It matches the Rfam family "Bacterial small subunit ribosomal RNA", at positions 524 to 776 of the family's 1533-position model. The record is from RNAcentral.
UACGUAGGGGGCUAGCGUUGUCCGGAUUUAUUGGGCGUAAAGAGCGUGUAGGCGCCAGGUAGGUCUGCUGUGAAAACUCGAGGCUCAACCUCGAGACGUCGGCGGAAACCAUCUGGCUAGAGUCCGGAAGAGGAGAGUGGAAUUCCAGGUGUGAGCGGUGAAAUGCGUAGAUAUCUGGAGGAAUACCGGUGGCGAAGGCGGCAUCCUGGACCGAGAUUGAGCACUGAUGAGCGAAAGCCAGGGGAGCAAACGGG